Molecule: long non-coding RNA, 574 nt
Filed under: Mus pahari (shrew mouse)
Lineage: Eukaryota; Metazoa; Chordata; Mammalia; Rodentia; Muridae
Description: lncRNA (MGP_PahariEiJ_G0004966.1)
Source: RNAcentral
GAAUGAAUCUAACAGUGCCAUAGACUCUACACUGAUAUAUCUAGCAUGAGUAAAGAAAGUUAAAGAAGGUAAAUGGGGAGUCAGCCCUUGAGGAUGAACUGAGAAUUCAGCUGUUUUUCAAAAAAAUGACUCAUCAGUGAAGAGCAGUGGCUCCUCUUCCAGAGGACCUGCAUUUGAUGCCAAGCACCCACAUAGCAGGUCACACAGAUCCAUAGCUCCAGAUCCAGGGGAUCUGAGGGCCUUUGCUGGACUUCUAGGACACCAGACACAGAAGUGGCACAGAACCAAUCGUACAUGAAGAAAGCCACAUGGAAGUCUUUGCCAACUCUUGCUCUCCUGAAAUGCUGCUGGAAGGAUGGCAAAUGAGAGCGCUCCCCCGAAACAGAAGCACAGCUGCAAGUGAGGUGUCUGGCCAAGUCCUGCUCCUUUCUCUGGCUGCUUCCUGAAUUCAGCUUCCUUCUUCUGAAUAGCGCUGACAAAUUAGCAUGGGGAGAGCACGUGCUGGACUCUGGGCUUGUGCCUCCAGGGCUUGGAGCCACAGCCUUCAGGAGCCAUGCUGUGUGGGCCAUUAAAC